CAGCAACUGACACUUUGUUCUACAGGACAGAAUCAAGAUCCUGCAAAAUGUUUGCCUUGAUUUAAAAGUUCAGCUGCACAAAUGGAGGAGAGGAAACAUAACCAGGAUUAACAGCGAUACAUACCCAAGAGCCGUAAGGAUUUUAGUGGACUACAAGUGCUCACUUCCCCACAACUUAAGACAACCGUACGCUAAAUUAUUAAAGGCAGCUGAUGACCAGGGCUGAGAACUUGCCCCAGACCACGAGCCUCUCUGUUGAUAAAGCAAGCAGACUUACAGUUUUUCGGCAUCUCAGGGAGCCUGCAGCAGUGAUCCAGUUCUUUCAAAGGGUCUGUGGAUUCUCAGCUUUCCAGACUAGGCUCUGGUGAUAGGUCACCUUCCAUCGGGAAAAGAAAGCAACGCAAGUAAAGAAACAACAUCAUUUUGUGAUGAUGCAAUGAAGGAAAUAAACAAGAAGAUAUGAUAAAUAGUACCUGGAGCGCCUACUUCACAAGAAAGCCUGAGAGAGUCCAGUUGUACUCAAGGAGAGGGAGAAGUAGCCAGGAGACAGAUCCGGUAGGACUGUGAAAGCCAUGGUAAGAAGCUGGGAACGUAUCCCAAGUACGUUGGAAAGCUGCUGGAAACUUUUAAGCAGGGAAGUUAUACAAUCUGAUUUACAUUUUGAAAAUGGCUCGCUGUUUGAGUAACAAAUUCUAAGUGGGCAGAUGCAGAGGCAGGAAGACCAGUUAGGAAGUGACUGAAAUGGUCCAUGUGAGAGAAGUUAGUUGGUGGCUUAGUUUAGGGUAGUGGCCAAGGCAGUGGUGAGG
RNAcentral lists this long non-coding RNA (806 nucleotides) under Homo sapiens (human). Its description in RNAcentral is "HSALNT0323266". The record is from RNAcentral. Lineage: Eukaryota; Metazoa; Chordata; Mammalia; Primates; Hominidae.